Molecule: long non-coding RNA, 802 nt
Filed under: Bos taurus (domestic cattle)
Lineage: Eukaryota; Metazoa; Chordata; Mammalia; Artiodactyla; Bovidae
Description: long non-coding RNA NONBTAT007290
Source: RNAcentral
GAGUCCUGGGGAUGCUGUGCCCCAGGAAAGAAGUGCAAACUCCCAGGCAGGGCUGGACAAAGCCUAAGAAGUCCUGAGACUGCAUGUGGGCAAGACCAAGCAGGGUCCAGAGCCCGUCUGCUCCACUUUAAGCAGGAUGGUGUGAUGCGGUGGAAGGACAGAAUGAGUCCCAGCCCUGUCGCCAGCUAACAAGGGGACUCAGCUCCUCUCUCUACAUCUCUGAGUCUCAGUUUUGGGAGAGAGCUGCCAAAAUGAGGGACUGGAUGAUCUCUGAGUUCCAUCCCGGCUCUGAAAGCCUCCUCUAUGAGCCUAAAUGUUGGACUUGUUGACAGCACAUGGGUGAAAAACAUUGAUUAAUAGCUCAUUGAUUGGCUUUCCUGGGCACCCCCAACAUGGUACCUUGUUCAGUUAGUUUCAGCUUCAAUGGGUCCUCCAGCCUGUGGCCUUAGCCUGAAAAUCACAGCCUUCUGUCUGAUUUAUGCCAAAUGGCAUUUCCUUGCAGGACUCCUAGUGCCUGGAAAUGUCAUUAAAGAAUCACCGAGCGAGGUAAGGACCAGAUAAAGGGAAGCACCUUCUCGCCUGCACAUCAACACCAUUAAACGCAUUGUUACAGCAGCAACGAAGCUGUCUGAUGAUAUCGUCGGUGGCAACUGGUCAGUGAAAAUGUUUUUUAAUUGUGACUUGAAUGUGUUUAUCAACUUCGCUUUGUGACAUCAAAAAGACAGCAACAGAAACACCGGGAGCUUCAGUCCUCAGGGGGAAACAUUAGUCAUCUGUGAGUGCGCAGGCCUUGGCAGAUGGU